This 255-nucleotide ribosomal RNA is filed under the name uncultured bacterium. RNAcentral describes it as "partial 16S ribosomal RNA". It matches the Rfam family "Bacterial small subunit ribosomal RNA", at positions 524 to 776 of the family's 1533-position model. The record is from RNAcentral.
UACGUAGGGUGCGAGCGUUAAUCGGAAUUACUGGGCGUAAAGCGUGCGCAGGCGGUCUGUUAAGACCGAUGUGAAAUCCCCGGGCUUAACCUGGGAACUGCAUUGGUGACUGGCAGGCUUUGAGUGUGGCAGAGGGAGGUAGAAUUCCACGUGUAGCAGUGAAAAUGCGUAGAGAUGUGGAGGAAUACCGAUGGCGAAGGCAGCCUCCUGGGCCAACACUGACGCUCAUGCACGAAAGCGUGGGGAGCAAACAGG